RNA transcript from Diorhabda sublineata, 2901 nucleotides. RefSeq lists it as uncharacterized. NCBI's taxonomy places the organism in Eukaryota, Metazoa, Arthropoda, Insecta, Coleoptera, Chrysomelidae. The transcript has 4 exons. The record is from RefSeq and is a predicted model, not a curated record.
GGGAACAUUAUCAGCAUAGAAGAUAUCAGGAACACCAAAUUUAGAAAACAAAUCCUUACAAUGCUUGAUCAUAGUAAAAGCUGUUUUAUUUGGGUAGGAAAAACUUUCAACCAAUGAGAGUAGCUGUCAACAAUUAACAAAUAGCUUUUGAACUGGUAAUCAAAAAAGUCGGAAAAAAAUAUUUGCCACGGUCUUUGGUGUCGUCCAUAAAUUACGUGAGGUGUUCGAAGGGGGGAGGGGGUCAAGUUAAAUCUUUCCAGAUCUCACUUGGGGAGAGGUAGGUUUCAACAAAUAUCACGUAUUUUUUUUCAAUAGAAAACCAUGUAAAAUUGUGUGAAAGUAAAGUUAAAUUGAAGUAAGAAAUUUUUCUAGAAUAAAAAUAUAUGCGAAAUUUGACACAAUGGUGUUUGUUGUACUACCCCGAACUCCGCAGAGUAGCACAAUAGCUCUCCGAUUGUUUAUGUGCUUUCGACCAGCCGUAUCGAUACGCGCUACUCGAUGAAUGUCGCAGCGUAAAGAACCGAGUAACAGCGACGCAAGUACAGGUGCUAUAACCUGCUUUGUUGAUGCCCGCAAAUAUUUUAUUUAACAACUUUUUUGAUACUAUUUUAACGAUUAAACAUUAAAACGUUAAAAGACACAUCUACAAGACAAAGAAAUGCUGUAAAGAAGAAGUGGUAAAGUUAUGGAACACAGCAAAACAAAAGUAUCCAAAGAAAGAAGAUUUGGUGAAACAUAUUCAGCAUGAGAUUGAUCAGCUUCUAAGAGAAGCAGCGGAAAAAAGGUCUCUCUCUAAGGGAAACACUCGGAGCUCUGAUAAUGUUUCAACACAAGUUGAUACAAGCGCUCAAGGUACGUCAAACUUAGAAUGCACGAUUCAAACUGAAAUUAACAUCCGGAUUAUUCAACAUGAGGAAUCAGUGACUCGAAAUGAGAUUUCUCACUAUAAUCAGCGGCUCAUGGAUCAAGAUUACGAUAAUGAACCUCAACUGGCAGGUGCUACAAAACGGAAAAAUCAGCGACGAUGAGAGAUGAGAAGUUGCGGCAAGAAAUUGAUAAUUUUGAAAAACAGCUCAAACCUAAGGAGAACCAAAGAGUAUACUCGAUGAAGCAUAGAUAAAAUAAAAAUUAUCGAAUUGUGUUCUAAAAAUCCUGGAGCAGCAAAAUCGUUGAUACCUCGAGUAAGCUCUAGACUUCCACGCUUCGAGGAAGAGCAGUCUGAAUUGCUGAAAACUAUUAGUGAUUUAGCUAUGUUUGGUGCAUCAGCUGAGGAACGGCGUCGCUGUGAAAUUGUUCCUAGUGUCCAUAGUCUUUCAGAGCUCACUCAAAAACUUAUCGAGCUGGGAUUUAAUAUUUCUCGAAGCGCCGCUUACAUUCGACUGUUGCCUAGACGGGCAGAUACGCGGUAGGCUAAGCACCACGUAGUGACUGUAACGGUGAAGUUGAGUCGCACCAAGACCAAUACUUUUUUGUAGCUUCCAUAAGGUCACUAGAAACUGUAGCCUCAAUACUUGGCUCUGAUUCUAUAUCUUUUUUAUCCCAAGAUGACAAAGCAUGGGUCCCCAUAGGAUUGACAACAGCAAACAAGCAGGCGCCUUUGCUAAUGCACGUUGAGUAUAAAGUGUCGUUACCAGAUCAUGACUUUAUAAUUGCUGCAAGACAUAAAUUGAUCCCGAGUGUCUAUGCUUUGUGUGAAGUAAAACCGAAUGACAUGGGGCGGCCAGAAGCCGUCUCAUAUAGUGGAAUAACAUAUAUAGCAAUCCAAAGUGGUAAGCACUCGUCUUCGACUGCAACUAGUCAAGCUGAAGACUUGGACACUCUCUUAACUCUUCAGCCUUUUGGUAAAUUAAUGAAAAACGAAGACGAUAAAGUCAAGCCUGUCCUUAUUAUUUCGAACGAUGGCGGUCCCGAUGAGAACCCGCGAUAUCGGAAAGUAAUUGUACAUUCUAUACAGCAUUUUAAAAAAUAUGAAUUUGACGCAAUAUUCAUUGGGACUAAUGCCCCCGGCAGAAGUGCUUUCAAUAGAGUAGAGAGACGCAUGGCCCCACUUAGCCGAGAACUAUCAGGUGUUGUUCUUCCCCAUGACUCUUUUGAGUCACAUCUUGACUCCACGGUAAAACAAUUAAUGAUGAUUUAAAAAAAGAUAACUUCAAAAAAGCGGAAACGACGACAUUUCUAAUGUUCCAGAUUUUCCAGCUGAAGAAUGGUACACCGAGCAUUUUAGAGAGAGUCAAUAUUUACUUCAGGUUGUAAAAUGCGAUGAUCAGCAGUGCUGCAGUCCGCGUCGGAGUUCUUUACAUGUACUUCUACAUGAUCUUUUUUUAUUACCUCCAUAUUCCAUUCAAGUUAAUGGACAUCCGGCGAUUCCGGAUCCUGAACAGCAUGAUGGAAAAACAUUUGCACCAUUCUUAAUUCGCCACUGCCUACCUAUUCAACCAUUACACACCUUCACAAGCAAGCCUUAUGACCUCUAUUGUCCAAAUUUAGGUCACGAUAUAGAAAAGAGAUGCUGCAAUACAUGUGGUAUCUAUUUCGCAUCCAUCACAAAAGUUGCGGAACAUCGAUGUGCGGCUCAUCAUGCACGAGAUGUGCAAACACUUAAAUUGCGACCAUAGCGUAUUGUUACAAGACAAGCGACUGGGUGCAAGCGACAACGGUUUGGAGUGGCUCAAUCAGAACGAAGUUGAAGGAGCAGAUGAUUUCAUUGAAAAUUAUUUGAAUACGUUGGUUCUAGUAGUCACUCUUGAGAGUGCACGAGUCUCCAUGGACUGAAUUAGAAUAAUCUCUUAUUAAUUUACGUUGAAGUAUUUAUUAUUUAAUUUCAUCACAGUAAUUUUUAACUAAGGCAAUAUUCUCAAAUCAGAAUUGUAUACUAGUCUUUAAUAAAAGUGAUAGAGCAAA